RNAcentral lists this ribosomal RNA (1130 nucleotides) under uncultured archaeon. Its description in RNAcentral is "bacterial SSU rRNA". It matches the Rfam family "Archaeal small subunit ribosomal RNA", at positions 322 to 1448 of the family's 1478-position model. The record is from RNAcentral.
CCUACGGGGCGCAGCAGGUGCGAAAAUUCCGCAAUGCGUGCAAGCGCGACGGAGUGACCCCCAGUGCCGAUGGUCUAACGAUCGUCGACUUUUCUGGAGUGUAAAAAGCUCUGGGUAAUAAGGGCCGGGUAAGACUGGUGCCAGCCGCCGCGGUAACACCAGCGGCUCAAGUGGUAGUCGAUUUUAUUGGGUCUAAAGCGUCCGUAGCCGGAUCGUCAAGUCCCUUGUGAAAUCGGGCGGCUUAACCGCUCGGCUUGCAAGAGAAACUGACGUUCUUGGGGUCGGCAGGCGCCGAGGGUACUCCGGAGGUAGCGGUGAAAUGCUAUAAUCUUCGGGGGACCGCCGGUGGCGAAAGCGCUCGGCGGGGCCGAACCCGACGGUGAGGGACGAAGGCCAGGGGAGCGAACCGGAUUAGAUACCCGGGUAGUCCUGGCUGUAAAGUAUGUGGGCCAGGUGCCAGACGUUCCUCGAGAGCGCUUGGUGCCGAAGGGAAGCCGUUAAGCCCACCACCUGGGGAGUACGGUCGCAAGACUGAAACUUAAAGAAAUUGGCGGGGGAGCACCACAAGGGGUGGAGCCUGCGGUUUAAUUGGAUUCAACGCCGGACAUCUCACCGGGGGCGACGGCAGAGUGAAGGCCAAGUUGACGACUUUGCCGGACUCGCCGAGAGGUGGUGCAUGGCCGCCGUCAGCUCGUAUCGUGAGACGUCCUGUCAAGUCAGGUAACGAGCGAGACCCUUAUCCUUAGUUGCCAGCGGAUCCCUCUGGGAUGCCGGGCACUCUAAGGAGACCGCUGUCGAUAAGGCAGAGGAAGGAGAGGGCGACGGUAGGUCCGUAUGCCCCGAAUCCCCCGGGCAACACGCGGGCUACAAUGCGCGGGACAGAGGGCUGCGACCCCGAGAGGGGAAGCCGAUCCCUAAACCUGCGCCUAGUUCGGAUCGAGGGCUGCAACUCGCCCUCGUGAAGCUGGAAUCCCUAGUAAUCGCGUGUCACUAUCGCGCGGUGAAUACGUCCCUGCUCCUUGCACACACCGCCCGUCAAGCCGUCCGAGUGGGAUUUGGAUGAGGCUUACUCGACAUGAGUGGGUCAAAUCCGGGUUCUGCAAGGAGGGCUAAGUCGUAACAAGGUAACC